CACGUAUUUAGCCGGGGCUUCUUAGUCAGGUACCGUCAUUUUCUUCCCUGCUGAUAGGGCUUUACAUACCGAAGUACUCCAUCGCCCACGCGGCGUCGCUGCAUCAGGGUUCCCCCCAUUGUGCAAUAUCCCCCACUGCUGCCUCCCGUAAGAGUCUGGGCCGUGUCUCAGUCCCAAUGUGGCCGUCCACCCUCUCAGGCCGGCUACUGAUCGUCGCCUUGGUCGGCCGUUACCCCGCCAACAAGCUAAUCAGACGCGAGCCCAUCCUGCACCAUAUUACUUUCCACACCGCCCCAUGCGGGGCUGUGCGCCUAUGCGGUAUUAGCAGCCGUUUCCAGCUGUUGUCCCCCAGUGCAGGGCAGGUUGCUCACGCGUUACUCACCCGUCCGCCACUAGGCAGCCGCCAACUUUCCGCUACCGAAAGUUUUCCAGUCGGCCGCCGUCCCCGUCGACUUGCCAUGUGUUAGGCGACGCCGCCAGCGUUCGACUCCUGGACGCCGAGGACUACAAACUUCC
This 516-nucleotide ribosomal RNA is filed under the name uncultured Lachnospiraceae bacterium. RNAcentral's name for it is "partial 16S ribosomal RNA". The record is from RNAcentral. Lineage: Bacteria; Bacillati; Bacillota; Clostridia; Lachnospirales; Lachnospiraceae.